AUGCCAGAAUCAUUUAUGUCCCCUGCUGUCCAGUUCUGCGGUACUCCCUCCGUUCCACAAUGUAGUGCGCCCGCGCUUCCCGUACCACUGAAUUCGUAUUUUUGCUCCCACUGCAGUUGGUCUCGUUGGUUAAAUUUAUGGUCAAACUUAGAUCUCGGAAAGCGUGAGCGCUCUACAUUGUGGAAUGGAGGGAGUAUUAUGUUUGUCAGAACUAGCCAUUUCUGGUCACCACUGCGGGAAGCUCUGCUGCUAAACAGCAUCCUUAUGGACAGGGGGCCAGUUGGCAUGUCUGGUUCACAGUCUGCAUCCAGCCAUCAACAGAAUUGGGGUAAUAUGCCGCUUCUGACACGGUGA
Molecule: ribosomal RNA, 354 nt
Filed under: Triticum aestivum (bread wheat)
Lineage: Eukaryota; Viridiplantae; Streptophyta; Magnoliopsida; Poales; Poaceae
Description: partial small subunit ribosomal RNA
Source: RNAcentral